Small nuclear RNA from Syzygium oleosum, 106 nucleotides. The record is from RefSeq and is a predicted model, not a curated record. NCBI's taxonomy places the organism in Eukaryota, Viridiplantae, Streptophyta, Magnoliopsida, Myrtales, Myrtaceae.
GUUGUACUUCUGAAGGCAUCCAAUAAAAUUGAGACGAUAUAGAGAAGAUUAGCAUGGCUCAUGCGCAAGGAUGACACGCACAAAUCAAGAAAUGAUUGAAGUCUUU